RNAcentral lists this ribosomal RNA (347 nucleotides) under uncultured bacterium. RNAcentral's name for it is "partial 16S ribosomal RNA". It matches the Rfam family "Bacterial small subunit ribosomal RNA", at positions 338 to 702 of the family's 1533-position model. The record is from RNAcentral.
CCUACGGGGGACAGCAGUGGGGGAUAUUGCACAAUGGGGGGAACCCUGAUGCAGCGACGCCGCGUGGGUGAAGGAGAGUUGCGGCGCGUAAAGCCCUAUCGGCAGGGAAGAAGAUGACGGUACCUGACCAAGAAGCCCCGGCGAACGCCGUGCCAGCAGCCGCGGUAAUACGUAGGGGGCAAGCGUUAUCCGGAUGUACUGGGUGUAAAGGGGGCGAAGACGGCCAUGCAAGCCAGGAGUGAAAGCCCGGGGCCCAACCCCGGGACUGCUCUUGAAGCUGCAUGGCUGGAGUACAGGAGGGGCAGGCGGAAUUCCUAGUGUAGCGGUGAAAUGCGUAGUUAUUAGGA